ACGGAAGGCAGCAGUGGGGAAUAUUGCACAAUGGGCGAAAGCCUGAUGCAGCGACGCCGCGUGAGUGAAGAAGUAUCUCGGUAUGUAAAGCUCUAUCAGCAGGGAAGAAAAUGACGGUACCUGACUAAGAAGCCCCGGCUAACUACGUGCCAGCAGCCGCGGUAAUACGUAGGGGGCAAGCGUUAUCCGGAUUUACUGGGUGUAAAGGGAGCGUAGACGGUUUGGCAAGUCUGAAGUGAAAUGCGGGGGCUCAACUCCUGAACUGCUUUGGAAACUGUCGAACUAGAGUGCAGGAGAGGUAAGUGGAAUUCCUAGUGUAGCGGUGAAAUGCGUAGAUAUUAGGAGGAACACCAGUGGCGAAGGCGGCUUACUGGACUGUAACUGACGCUGAGGCUCGAAAGCGUGGGGAGCAAACAGGAUUAGAUACCCUGGUA
This 434-nucleotide ribosomal RNA is filed under the name uncultured Clostridium sp. Its description in RNAcentral is "partial 16S ribosomal RNA". It matches the Rfam family "Bacterial small subunit ribosomal RNA", at positions 341 to 792 of the family's 1533-position model. The record is from RNAcentral. RNAcentral also lists the same sequence under 1 other name. Lineage: Bacteria; Bacillati; Bacillota; Clostridia; Eubacteriales; Clostridiaceae.